GACGAACGCUGGCGGCGUGCUUAACACAUGCAAGUCGAACGGAAAGGCCCUGCUUGCAGGGUACUCGAGUGGCGAACGGGUGAGUAACACGUGGGUGAUCUGCCCUGCACUUCGGGAUAAGCUUGGGAAACUGGGUCUAAUACCGGAUAGGAACCAUCUUUAGUGUGGUGGUUGGAAAGUUUUUUCGGUGUAGGAUGAGCUCGCGGCCUAUCAGCUUGUUGGUGGGGUAAUGGCCUACCAAGGCGGCGACGGGUAGCCGGCCUGAGAGGGUGUACGGCCACAUUGGGACUGAGAUACAGCCCAGAGUCCUACGGGAGGCAGCAGUGGGGAAUAUUGCACAAUGGGCGCAAGCCUGAGGCAGCGACGCCGCGUGGGGGAUGAAGGCCUUCGGGUUGUAAACUCCUAUCGCUAGGGACGAAGCUUUGUUGUGACGGUACCUAGAUAAGAAGCACCGGCUAACUACGUG
RNAcentral lists this ribosomal RNA (466 nucleotides) under uncultured bacterium. RNAcentral's name for it is "partial 16S ribosomal RNA". It matches the Rfam family "Bacterial small subunit ribosomal RNA", at positions 28 to 507 of the family's 1533-position model. The record is from RNAcentral.